GGAGAUAGCUGGUUCUCCCCGAAAGCUAUUUAGGUAGCGCCUCGUGAACUCAUCUUCGGGGGUAGAGCACUGUUUCGGCUAGGGGGCCAUCCCGGCUUACCAACCCGAUGCAAACUACGAAUACCGAAGAAUGUUAUCACGGGAGACACACGGCGGGUGCUAACGUCCGUCGUGAAGAGGGAAACAACCCAGACCGCCAGCUAAGGUCCCAAAGUCAUGGUUAAGUGGGAAACGAUGUGGGAAGGCACAGACAGCCAGGAUGUUGGCUUAGAAG
RNAcentral lists this ribosomal RNA (274 nucleotides) under Bacillus sp. AFS073361. RNAcentral describes it as "Bacterial large subunit ribosomal RNA". It matches the Rfam family "Bacterial large subunit ribosomal RNA", at positions 841 to 1112 of the family's 2925-position model. Lineage: Bacteria; Bacillati; Bacillota; Bacilli; Caryophanales; Bacillaceae. The record is from Rfam by way of RNAcentral.